GGGGGACUUCCUGUUUAUGAGAAUCACAAGGACCCCUGGGGCGGCGCCUGGGACAGGACUCCCGGGCAGCAGCCCCUCUAGCCCAGACCUCAGUCCCUCCCCCGAGAGGCCCCACGCUGCUAGCUCAGACCCAGGCCACUGCCCUCCCCCUACACUGGGGAAGGCGAGAAGGGAGGAGGAGUGAGGAGUCUUUGGAAUGGCCAGGAAUGUGGGAGUCCAACGUCCCGAACGUCCGCAGGAAGCAUCCGUGGCUCCAGGGCACAGCCCCCUCCAAGUCUGGAUGACACGCCCCAUUCUCUUCCCCCAACCGUAGGGCCCUCCCUUUGCUUGGAUAGGGGAGGGCUGUGGGAGCCGGGAGGGAGGAGGCCAGACCCCAUCCUGCCUUGCGGGGGCCACAAGACUUCAGCUCUGGCUUGACCAGCCUCUGGCAGCCACAGUCUCUCAUCUGUGGGCAAGGGCCACGGGCCAGCAACUCCGUCAGCCUUCUUUUUCCUUCACCGUCUCCGGAGGGUGGGGCGGGGGCUGCCUGGAGGCUCAGGACCACUGGAGAGACCUCAGACCAAGACAAGUCUUCAACACCUCACAGAAUCCCUCCAUGUUCCAAGUCCCAGGUCCGAGCAGGGCACAGGUGCCACCGGGGGUCAGGUGGAGGGGAGGAGCUGGCCAAAGUUGCCCCUCAGGAAGCAAACAGCCCUGCCCUCCUCCCCCACCAGUCAGCCUCUCCCAAUCUGUCCUUUGGUUGCCCAACAGGUAUUGACCCAGGGCCUGGAGGUCACGGCCAGGGGAAGAGGCAGGGCAGGGAGACUGGCCCUGUCCCUCUUGCCCUCCCUCCCUAACCCAGAAGGAGGUGAGCGACACCUGUCCUCUGUCUCUGCCAGACGCCCCCUUCCCGGCCAGCUUAGAGUACCUGGAGAUAUGGAUCCUUCAGCCACAAGGUCAUGACUAUUUGAGGCAGUCAUCCUCUAGACAGUGGUGCGGGCACGGAGAAGCCAGCUAACCCAGAGCCGGCAGUCAGGAAGGGCUUCCUGGAGGAGGCCGCCUCUCAACGUGGAAGUCUACCAUCAGGCAGGAAACGGUGUGCCUGACCCGGGAACCAGUCUGGUCAAAGGCACUGCCCUUCUAGCGACAUGAUGGGUCCGGAGAAAGGAGCAGGGCAGCGGGGAGCUAUGGAAGGCUUUUGAGCAGCGGAGUGACAAGAUAGAUCGAAGCACCGAGAGCGUUGAUAGACUGGAGGACCCGCUUGGGGCAGGAAGACCAGCGAGGAGGUGGCACAAGGGUCUGCAUUCCGCGGUGGUUUUUCAAGGGGCCGUCACAGAGGCCGCACGCUCCCUAGGCAGCAAGAGGGGCCCCGCCAAGCUCCUGCCCGGAGAACCCCACUCAGCCUCAAGCCGCCGUAGCUUUGAACUGUGUCUGCGAAUCGAUGCUUUGUCUGGAUUUCUUUGGUUUGGCAAUGGUGAAUGGAGCUGCGCAGAUGUCCGUGCUCGGGUUUUCGUGUGGACUCACAUUUUCAACUCCUCUCGGAACUGGCUCGUGGUGAGACUUCACUCGAAAAAGUGGUUUCCACUUCACCUCCAGGGGGUUGGCUAGAAUUAAACUUACUGCCGCCUGUGUUGGUGGGGAUGUGGAACUCACUCGUGUGGCAAGACUGCCUGGCGGGUGGCCGGGGACGGAACAGAGGCCCCUCCCUGUGACCGAGCAAGCUCACCCUCCAGUAGGAAUCCGGCAGAAGCGCCUGGAUGCGUGUCGCGCGAGAAGUGGCCCCGAAUGUCCACAGCGGCGGCCGUCGGACAGCGCCCCCAACGGAUCUACCGCGAUGCGCGCCCGACGGUAUAGUCCCACGAGGGAAUUCUCUUCCGGAGCAAGAACAAUCUACAGGCGCAUGUGCCCGCAUGGAAGGUUCUCUCUGACACGCGGUGACCGAAAGACUCCAGGGACUAAAGAGCAGACGCCGGGUGCUUCCAUUCGCGUGAAGGACAAAAAUCGUUGGAACGAAUCCCUGGUGACGGACGACGGAAGAGUUGUUGCCUCUGGAGGUGGUCUUGACCGGGCCAUUGGAAACGCUCCGUCUCUUGGUUUGGGUCGUGGUCACCUGGGUGAACACCUAAGGGAAAAAUCGACUGAGUGUUUGCUCAGGAUCUGUGCCCCUUAGUGUGUUUUAUACCUCAACCUGUGUAUUCGGAACCACCAUGUAGGAAGCUGGCUGUCCUGAAGCCACCGUGCUGUGGAGACAGACUGUGCAGGGAGACCGCAGGUGGAGACGCCCGAGGGGCCCCAGCUGUCCAGCCUCUUCCACCCUUUCGUCUGUCCCAGCUGAUGCCACGUGAGCAGAGACCAGCUAUAGGUUCGCAAACUAAACAAGCUGGCUGCUGUUUAUGUGGGGGUGGGUUGAUAUGCGCCAAUAGGCAACUGGAACACCUAGUGACUUCAUUCCUCAGGGCUCCCUCCAGGCCCUCUCUGCUCUACUCAUGCCAGCUGCACCCGGGCACACUCAGUUCCUUGCUGCGGGAGCCAGCUCCCCAGUCUGUGCGCACAAAUCUGCUCCACUCUCCCAGGCUCAGCCUCUGCCCUGCCUCCUCCGGGAAGCCUUCCUCUCUGCAGCGUUGGACAGUGUUGAUAAGCAAGCUGAUGAUAAUGGGGGGAGGUGGGGGGGUAUAUGGGAAAUCUCCGUACCUUCCACUCAGUUAAAAAAUUUUUUUUCCUAAUGUUUUAUUUAUUUUUGAGACAGACAGAGCAUGAG
This is a long non-coding RNA of Felis catus (domestic cat), 2737 nucleotides long. RefSeq lists it as uncharacterized. The transcript has 6 exons. NCBI's taxonomy places the organism in Eukaryota, Metazoa, Chordata, Mammalia, Carnivora, Felidae. The record is from RefSeq and is a predicted model, not a curated record.